GGGGAGCCUGGUGCGGGACUUGAUCCCAGGACCCCAGGAUCACAACUGAGCUAAAGGCAGACACUCAACCAAUGAGCCAUCUAGGCGCCCCCUUCUUGUUUCUUAACAUAGUUGAUUAUCCCGAUGAACUUCCAUCUUACAGCUGGUUUUGCUGUAAUGCAUAGAUUUGUUCUGUUGUAUUUCCAUUUCCAUCCAUCUCAAAGUAUUUUUGUUUUCUCGAGUUCUUCUUUGACCCUGUGGUUGUUCAGUAGCAUGUUGUCUAAUCUCCACAUAUUUAUGAUUUUCCCAGUUAUCUUUUUGUAAUUGAUUUUUAGUUUCAUACUAUUGUAGUUGAAAAAGAUGCUCAAUAUGACUUCAGUCUUCUUAAAUUUAUUAAGACCUGUUGUCUAGCCUGACAUAUGAUCCAUCCUGGAGAAUGUUCCAUGAGCACUUAAGAAGGAUGUAUAUUCUCUUGGUUUGGAUAAAAUGUUCAGUAUAUCUCUACUUUCGUUUUAUUUUGUUUGAGAUAUUUUUACAUAUAAUAAAAUGCACACAUUUUAAGGGCAUAGUUUGGAGAGUUUUAAACAAAUACAUUGUGUCACUACUACCUGAAUCAAUUACCAUUAGCCUAGAAAGUUACUUUAUGCCAAUUUCCCCCCUUCUCUCCUGCAAGCAAUCACCCAUCUAAUUUCUAUCACCAUAGUUUAGUUUCCCUAUUACAGAACCUCAUCUAAAUGGAAUUAGGCACUAUACUCUUCUGUGUCUGGCUUCUUUUGCUCAAAAGCUAUGGAUAUUUUAUUAUUGAAAGUUGGCAAAAUAUCAAAGAUGACUGAAUUUAAUGGUGUUCAAAAAUAUGGAAUGCUUCACGAAUUUGCACGUCAUCCUGCACAGAGACAAUGCUAAUCUUCUCUGUAUAUUUCCAAUUUUAGUGUAUGUGCUCCCAAAGCAAGCACUGUAUAUCUAUCUCUAUUAAGUCCAUCAAGUCUAAAGUGUCACUUAAGGCCAAUGUUUCUUUAUUUUGUUUAGAUAAUCUAUCCCUUAAUGAAAGUGGAAUACUAAAGUCCCCUAAUGUGCUAUUUGUAAAUCACUCCCUUUAAAUGUUAAUAUUUGAUUUAUAUAUUUAAGUGUACCUAUAUUGGGUGCAUAUUUACAAAUAUUUACAAAUGUUCUAUCCUGCUAUUGGAUUGGCCCAUUUAUUGUUAUGUAAUGUUCUUUGUUUCUUACUAGUCUUUGUCUUAAAGCCUAUUUUGUCUAAUAUAGUAAAUGUAGCUACCCUGGCUUUCCUUUGGUUACCAUUUGCAUGGAAUAGCUUUUUCCAUCCCUUCACUUUCAGUCUGUGUUCUUAUAUCCGAAGUGAGUUUCUUGUAGGUCUUGUUCUUUUAAUCCAUUUAGUCACUGUGUCUUGAUUGAGGAAAUUAGUCCAUUUACAUUAAAAGUAAUUGUUUUUAUAUUUAUAUAUAUAAUUAUAUAUAUAAUCGCCUUAUGGUCAUUUUUUGAAUUGUUUUCUGUUUUGUAAUUACUUUAUUCCUUUCUUUUUUGUUCAUUUGUGAUUUGAUGAUUCUGUGUGUAUGUGGUAUACUGAGAUUCCUUUCUCUUUUAACUACUAGGCUUUUGUGGUUACUAUGAGGUUUACAUAUAACAAGUUUGAAUGCAUUUUUUUAAGUAAUUUUCUAAGAAAGAUUUGUGAGAGACAGCACAAGCAGGAGGAGGUACAGAGGGGAGCAGCAGACUCCCGCUGAACAGGGAGCCCAACAUGAGGCUCUAUCCCAGGACCCUGAGAUUAUGACCCAAGCCAAAGGCAGACACUUAACUUACUGAGCCUCCCAGGCACCCUUGAACACAUUCUUAAGCUAUAUAUUUUUACUCUCUUCCCACCAUAUUGUUUUCUGAUGUCAAAUUUUAUAUCUUUUUGUGUAUCCCUUUUUACCUACUUUUGUCUUUUAACCUUCGUACUAGUUUUAUAAGUAUUAAUUUUUAUCCUAAUUAAGCUUUAUCAGUGUUUUAGUGAUUAUAAUUGAUUUUUAAAUAUUUGGAGAAUUUUUUUUUACCUGUUAUAAUUCUUUUAUAGGCAGGGAACAUCUGUGUAUGAUUCAAUCCUUAGGAAUAUAUAAAAACUCAGCAUUUAAUCUUUCUUGGUGAGUAUUCCAAGUGCACUGUAGAGUUUAUUUCUGGUUCCACAUUUAUUUGAAGACCUUAGGAUUGAAAGCAAAAAUGCAGGAGCAGAAACCAACACAGGUACAACCAACACACAGUAGGAAGACCUGAAUUGUGAUCGGCAAAUUGCCAGAGGCUCAGCAUGGACAAAUCUGAGAAUUAAGCUCUAAGGAACCCAGUCAUAGUGGGGUUCCGUAAACAUUGUAAGAUUUACCUUCAGGAAUAGGUUCCCACAGUAAAUAUAAGAGGAGAACCCAUUGUGUUUCCAACAUUUGGGGUGUAUGUGUUGGGAGAAGGGUGGAUGGAACAAUUUUGAAAUGUAUCAGAGUAUUCAUUUUUAAGAAAGCCUGCCCUCCAAAGAAACUAGUUAACCAGAACCUAGGAGGGCACAUGAUGAGACGUGCACUGGCUGUUAUAUGUUGGCAAUUUGAAUUUAAAUUUAAAAAAAAAAAA
RNAcentral lists this long non-coding RNA (2586 nucleotides) under Canis lupus familiaris (dog). RNAcentral describes it as "lncRNA (ENSCAFG00000054202.1, ENSCAFG00805029036.1)". Lineage: Eukaryota; Metazoa; Chordata; Mammalia; Carnivora; Canidae. The record is from RNAcentral.